AGCAGCCGCGGUAAUUCCAGCUCCAAUAGCGUAUAUUAAAGUUGUUGCAGUUAAAAAGCUCGUAGUUGAAUUUCGGGGUCAGUAGGUUGGUCGUGCCACUGGUAUGUACUGGCCUCACUGAUUCCUCCUUCUUGUAGAACCGUAAUGCCAUUAAUUUGGUGUUGCGGGGAAACAGGACUGUUACUUUGAAAAAAUUAGAGUGUUUAAAGCAGGCUAACGCUUGAAUACAUUAGCAUGGAAUAAUGAAAUAGGACGUUCGAUCCUAUUUUGUUGGUUUCUAGGAUUGACGUAAUGAUUAAUAGGGAUAGUUGGGGGCAUUAGUAUUCAAUUGUCAGAGGUGAAAUUCUUGGAUUUAUUGAAGACUAACUACUGCGAAAGCAUUUGCCAAGGAUGUUUCCAUUAAUCAAGAACGAAAGUUAGGGGAUCGAAGACGAUCAGAUACCGUCGUAGUCUUAACCAUAAACUAUGCCGACUAGGGAUCGGAUGAUGUAAUUUUUAAUGACUCAUUCGGCGCCUUACG
This 520-nucleotide ribosomal RNA is filed under the name uncultured Glomus. Its description in RNAcentral is "SSU rRNA". It matches the Rfam family "Eukaryotic small subunit ribosomal RNA", at positions 569 to 1092 of the family's 1831-position model. Lineage: Eukaryota; Fungi; Glomeromycota; Glomeromycetes; Glomerales; Glomeraceae. The record is from RNAcentral.